RNAcentral lists this long non-coding RNA (284 nucleotides) under Capsicum annuum. RNAcentral describes it as "long non-coding RNA (CANN_LNC001155)". The record is from RNAcentral. Lineage: Eukaryota; Viridiplantae; Streptophyta; Magnoliopsida; Solanales; Solanaceae.
GAAUAGUUACCACCUUCCGACCUUAGGUGAUAAACGUUAAAACUACUUGUUUUGGCUCUCUUAUUCUCUCUUUCUUUCUCCUUAAACUUCUCUUCCUCAAUCUACUGAGUAUGAACCAUAAGUCUAGAUAAGUCCAAUUCCUUAACUAACAUUGUGGUCCUACAUUCCUUAACCAUACUAUCCGCUACACCAGACAUAAACUAACUCAUUCUAGACCUAUUAUCUGCAACCAUAUUAGGAGCAUACUUUACCAACUAAGUAAACUUAAGGAUUACUCCUUCACA